GAUGAACGCUGGCGGCGUGCCUAAUACAUGCAAGUCGAGCGAACGGACGAGAAGCUUGCUUCUCUGAUGUUAGCGGCGGACGGGUGAGUAACACGUGGAUAACCUACCUAUAAGACUGGGAUAACUUCGGGAAACCGGAGCUAAUACCGGAUAAUAUUUUGAACCGCAUGGUUCGAAAGUGAAAGACGGUCUUGCUGUCACUUAUAGAUGGAUCCGCGCUGCAUUAGCUAGUUGGUAAGGUAACGGCUUACCAAGGCAACGAUGCAUGGCCGACCUGAGAGGGUGAUCGGCCACACUGGAACUGAGACACGGUCCAGACUCCUACGGGAGGCAGCAGUAGGGAAUCUUCCGCAAUGGGCGAAAGCCUGACGGAGCAACGCCGCGUGAGUGAUGAAGGUCUUCGGAUCGUAAAACUCUGUUAUUAGGGAAGAACAUAUGUGUAAGUAACUGUGCACAUCUUGACGGUACCUAAUCAGAAAGCCACGGCUAACUACGUG
This 497-nucleotide ribosomal RNA is filed under the name uncultured bacterium. RNAcentral describes it as "partial 16S ribosomal RNA". It matches the Rfam family "Bacterial small subunit ribosomal RNA", at positions 28 to 507 of the family's 1533-position model. The record is from RNAcentral.